GUCAGGCGGGGCCACCCGCCGAGUUUAAGCAUAUAAAUAAGCGGAGGAGAAGAAACUUACGAGGAUUCCCCUAGUAACGGCGAGCGAACCGGGAUCAGCCCAGCUUGAGAAUCGGGCGGCCGUGCCGUCCGAAUUGUAGUCUGGAGAAGCGUCCUCAGCGACGGACCGGGCCCAAGUCCCCUGGAAAGGGGCGCCGGGGAGGGUGAGAGCCCCGUCCG
This 218-nucleotide ribosomal RNA is filed under the name Heliconia talamancana. Its description in RNAcentral is "partial 26S ribosomal RNA". It matches the Rfam family "Eukaryotic large subunit ribosomal RNA", at positions 11 to 227 of the family's 3401-position model. Lineage: Eukaryota; Viridiplantae; Streptophyta; Magnoliopsida; Zingiberales; Heliconiaceae. The record is from RNAcentral.